This is a non-coding RNA of Malus domestica (apple), 996 nucleotides long. The record is from RefSeq and is a predicted model, not a curated record. Lineage: Eukaryota; Viridiplantae; Streptophyta; Magnoliopsida; Rosales; Rosaceae.
UCCAAGUUUGAUGGCAAAUCACAGGUCCACCUUUAAUUUGGAUCAAGAUUGUCUGCCCUCCAAUUUUUCAUUCCUUCCAUUGUUCUAGCCAUUGAUUACAUGUUGAGUUAAUUUAAUGCUCUAGAUUUUAUCAGCUCACACAUUUUCACUCUCCUUUCUCUUCCUCUUCGCUUCUGCUGCUGCAUUCACAGACUAAGAAACAUUUUCAGCUGCACAACAACAUCCUCCACCAAGAAUGCCAUGGAAUUACGAUUUCCGAGUUGCUUUUCGGAUUCUAAAUCAUCGGUUUCCAUUUUGCUUCCAAAAAAUAAUGGGUUUUUAACUAAUUUGCUGAUUGUUCAAGUGGGAGAGGAAAAUUUUGAGAAUCAGCAGCCAUCAGCAGAAGAUUCUCAAAAUUUUGGAAGUCAGAAUAUAAGAUUUUGUUGUAACAGAGCCUAUAAGGAGCACGAUAGCCCCUGUAAUUCAUCAACCUUUAAUUCACAACCUGACCAGAGGAUGAAGGUAAUAUUUAAUUCAUGAUGUUGGCAAACUCGUCAGAAAAUCGAGUCCGGAGCUGGCAAACUCACCGGGGCAGAGCCUGAAGUGGCCGCCAUACCACUCCUCUCGCUGACAUUUCGCGAAGAAGGGUUUGGUUCCUGGUGACAGGGUUCGAAAGCCGGAUAUGAAUCAACUCUCAAAUCUAUUUAAUUUCAGUUUCGAUUUCAAUGCCUGUUUUGAAAUUUAUUUCAUGAUGUUCGAGUUGGGAUCUCAAAUAUCGCCUUUGUGCUUGGAUUUAUGAUGCAAAUCUCAAAUUUUGUAACUCGUCUAAAUUUGGAGCAUCAACCAUCAGCAGAAGAUUCUUAAAAUUUUCCUCUCCCACUUGAACAAUCAGCAGAUUAGUUAAAAACCCAUUAUUUUUUGGAAGCUAAGAAGGAAACCCAUGAUUUAGAAUCCGAAAAGCAACUCGGAAAUUGUAUUAUAAUUCAAUGGCAUUCUUGGUGGAGGAUGUUGUUGUUG